RNAcentral lists this ribosomal RNA (152 nucleotides) under uncultured eukaryote. RNAcentral describes it as "partial 18S ribosomal RNA". It matches the Rfam family "Eukaryotic small subunit ribosomal RNA", at positions 1299 to 1458 of the family's 1831-position model. The record is from RNAcentral.
UGGUGGAGUGAUUUGUCUGGUUAAUUCCGUUAACGAACGAGACCUCGACCUGCUAAAUAGACUGGCGAAUCCUUUUUUGGGGUUCGAUUUCUUCCAGUACUUCUUAGAGGGACUAUCGGUGUUCUAGCCGAUGGAAGUUCGAGGCAAUAACA